This 845-nucleotide ribosomal RNA is filed under the name Aptinothrips rufus. RNAcentral describes it as "partial large subunit ribosomal RNA". It matches the Rfam family "Eukaryotic large subunit ribosomal RNA", at positions 1119 to 1886 of the family's 3401-position model. Lineage: Eukaryota; Metazoa; Arthropoda; Insecta; Thysanoptera; Thripidae. The record is from RNAcentral.
GUGCCAAGUGGGCCAAUUUUGGUAAGCAGAACUGGCGCUGUGGGAUGAACCAAACGCAGAGUUAAAGCGCCUAAAUCGACGCUCAUGGGAAACCAUGAAAGGCGUUGGUUGCUUAAGACAGCAGGACGGUGGCCAUGGAAGUCGGAAUCCGCUAAGGAGUGUGUAACAACUCACCUGCCGAAGCAACUAGCCCUGAAAAUGGAUGGCGCUGAAGCGUCGUGCUUAUACUCUGCCGUCAGGGCAAUAGAGGCGGCUGGCUGCGUGCCGCGCCCUGAAGCCCUGACGAGUAGGAGGGUCGCGUCGGUGUGCGCAGAAGGGUCUGGGCGUGAGCCUGCCUGGAGCCGCCGACGGUGCAGAUCUUGGUGGUAGUAGCAAAUACUCCAGAGAGGCCCUGGAGGGCUGAUGUGGAAGAAGGGUUUCGUGUGAACAGCCGUUGCACACGAGUCAGUCGAUCCUAAGCCCUAGGAGAAAUCCGAAGUUGAUGACGCGUGUCCGAUCAUAACAGUUGUGAAGACCCUCAUCGGGCGAAAGGGAAUUCGGUUCCUAUUCCGAAACCCAGUACCGGAACCGUUCCAGUCGGGUCCUCAAAAACUCGUCGAGGUGACUCGACAUGCCCCGGAGACGCCGUCGGGAGCUGCCGGAAGAGUUAUCUUUUCUGUUUGAGUGCGCAUACUCCCUGGAAUUCCCUAGAGGAGAGAUAGGGAGCAGCGCAACGAAGAGCACCGCACUUGCGGCGGUGUCGGCAGCGUCCUCUCGGACCUUGAAAAUCCGGGUGAGGGCCACGUGGACGACCGGUCUGGUUCGUACCCAUAUCCGCAGCAGUCUCCAAGGUGAAGAGCCUCUAG